RNAcentral lists this unclassified non-coding RNA (256 nucleotides) under Hevea brasiliensis (rubber tree). Lineage: Eukaryota; Viridiplantae; Streptophyta; Magnoliopsida; Malpighiales; Euphorbiaceae. The record is from RNAcentral.
AAAAAAAGCUCAAAGAGGACCACCACGACAGGAGUCAUAGUUCUCAUCCACACAUAGCAAACUGCACUAACCAACAUGAAAGCAGAACAGGGUAGUUGAGAAGUAAACGCCACAUGCACCACCAGGGUUUGGACCCAUGCCAGAUGAACGGGGAAAUGCAUGGCAGUGAUGCAAGCAUCUCAAUCUCCUUUAGCUCGGGAUACGCCAACUAGAUCCAUACACACUACUGAACUGCUAGCUGACAGGGGAUCUCCCU